AAUGAACGCUGGCGGCAGGCCUAACACAUGCAAGUCGAACGGGCACUUCGGUGCUAGUGGCGGACGGGUGAGUAACGCGUGGGAACGUGCCCCUUGGUACGGAAUAGCCCCGGGAAACUGGGAGUAAUACCGUAUGUGGUCGAGAGACGAAAGAUUUAUCGCCAAGGGAUCGGCCCGCGUUGGAUUAGGUAGUUGGUGGGGUAAUGGCCUACCAAGCCGACGAUCCAUAGCUGGUUUGAGAGGAUGAUCAGCCACACUGGGACUGAGACACGGCCCAGGCUCCUACGGGAGGCAGCAGUGGGGAAUCGUGGACAAUUGGCGAAAGCCUGAUCCAGCCAUGCCGCGUGAGUGAUGAAGGCCCUAGGGUUGUAAAGCUCUUUCACCGAUGAAGAUAAUGACGGUAGUCGGAGAAGAAGCCCCGGCUAACUUCGUGCCAGCAGCCGCCGUAA
This 449-nucleotide ribosomal RNA is filed under the name uncultured bacterium. RNAcentral's name for it is "partial 16S ribosomal RNA". It matches the Rfam family "Bacterial small subunit ribosomal RNA", at positions 29 to 523 of the family's 1533-position model. The record is from RNAcentral.